UUGUCAAUCUCUCUCUUUCUCUCUCCCUCUCUGUCCAUCCAUCCAUCUCUCAUCUUCCCAGGUCUCCGCUCGCCCUCAUUCUCUCCUAUGACAACUGCAAGGGGAGCAAGGAUCCGGAAGCUCUGAGUUUUUGACAUUACAGCUCUUAUUAUUCAAGAGCAAAGAAAGAACUUCUCUCUAGCUUUCAAGUACCAAGUUCCUUAAAAAGAAGAAGAAGGAGGAGGAAAAGGAGGAGGAGGAGAAGACAAUGACCUUGAUUAGUCCUAACUGGGCCACAUGUCCUCCCUUGGAUCAUACCUGGGGCAAAGGAAUUAGGCACCAAGACUGGCUGUUCCUCAUUCGUGUGUCUACUCUUUCCUCUGGAGUGAUGUUAACAUCAGCCCCACCAGAGUCAAUGUUGGAGACAGACAGCAAUGGAGGGAACACAAAGAAGGAACGUGGGAGAGAGAGAAGCAGGCUUCCUACUGAGCAGGCAGCCUGAUGGGAUCAUGACCUGAGCCGAAGGCAGACGCUUAAUGACUGAGCCAUGCAGGUGCCCUUCUUUUUGUUAAAUUUAGAUGUAACUACAUUUAUUGAGCAAAUGAUAAUAAUAGCUAUGGCAUAACUUAUCACAUUAACACAGCUAACAUCUAUUGAACACUUACUACCUUGCCUGGUAGGCACUGUGCUACAGACCACCUUACUUUCACCAUACUACUGAAUCCAUACAAUAGCCCUAAGAGACAGGAAAUCUUAUUCCCUUUUGACAUAUGAGAACACCGAAGCAGAAAGAAGAGAACAAGCUCUCUCAAGGUCACAAAACCAUUGAAUGGCAUUGCCAGGGAUCAAACCCUGGUGUGACCCCAAACUCCAUGCCCUCAACUCUCUGAGUCUGUUAGCUAAAGGACUAAGGUGCUUCACGUAUCCAUUUCCCACACACAAAGUCUCUGGGGUGCAGGUUUUGUUAGUUACCUUUGCAGGUGAUCAUAACAGGGCUCAAGGAGUUUAGGAAACAUGCCCAAAUUUCUAAAGCUGCAAGCAGUAAUUGCCUGAAGUGGAUUUCAGAGCCAACUAACUUCUUACCCUGAGCUCUUACUCCUACUGUGCACUUCUCGGCAGAGUUAAGGGAUUUAAAUGUGUUAUAAGUUUACUUAUUUGAAAAUUUCAAGAAAACAGGCUUAAAUGAUUAAUGUAUCAGUGUUUGGCUAUAUUAAAAACAUGCCAUUUAUUCAGAGUCUCAAUUCUAUUACAGUCGAGGGUAACAAUAGAGAGUGAGCGCUAGAGUAAAUCACAGACUCCCACCAAUUUUCUGGGAAGAAAAUGUCAGAGGGGGAAUCUAUGCUAUAGAAGAAGGAGAAAUGUACCUACACUAGCCAGUAGAAAUAGAGUCGAUUGUUGAAUCCAGGAGGCAUUAUGCCAGCCAGCCAGAACUCAGAGAAAGAGAAAACAAACAGAGAAAUUGGGCAGAAUCAUCUGUACCCUUUAAUCACAAUAGAGCAGCCAGAACAGGCCACGCUGAGUUAAACAUCCAUCGCAACCGCACUGCACAUAGCCAACUCCGAGUCACUCCGGCCCUAGCACCAACUCUUACUGUAACGGCAUCAUAAUGAGAAAAUGACAUGCAAAUGAAGUAAGCAGUGGUUAGGGGCAGUCACAGACCUGUAAUUGCCUCAAUUUGGGGGGAGUUGUGGUGGGCUUCGGGGGAUGGUGUGCAAUUCAGAACAAGAAUAAUUUUCAUGAAAUGACAGACCAUGACACCUGUGAGAGUUAACCUGCGUGGCCUGUGCACUCAAGGGAAGGAGCAGAGCCUGAGUCCUGUGACCUUGUCACGUCUCAAGUGGACUCCAAGUCUGGGUUAAUCUAAGUGAUAAAGCAUGUAGAUUUCCUCAUUGUCUUGCCACACCUGAUCACUGAUGCAUGGAAAGGAACCCUAGAAAUCAGAAACAAUGGGCUGGAAUGAAUAAUUGGAAAAGUAGACCAUGUUUCUCAUAGCAGAAUCAACAACACAAAGGUACCAGUUCUCAAGGAGCACAAAGAGAGCCAACAAUGUGACCACUUUGAACCACUUCAAAAUCUUGAAAUUAAGGAAAACUUAAAGUUCCUAAUGAAACAAAGGUAAUUGGUUAAAAGAGUCCCUGAACAUAGGUUGGAAGGGGGUCUCGGAUUCGUAAAAUUCCCUUUCUCAGUAAGAAUUCUAACAAAUCAGAGAGUUUGGUAAUUAGGAAGGUGGGGAUGAGGCGUAUUACAGGAGAAGGUGUUUGGCAAGGUGGACAAGGAUCAGGCCCGUCAUAGUGGCAACAGGCUCAGAGGUAGUCCAGGAAAUUUUCAAGAUAUUUAUUUGUUUGUUUGUUUGUUUGUUUGUUUAUUUAUUUAUUUGGAGAGCAUGUGCUAGUGGGGAGGUGGGGGGAGGGAGAGAGAGGUUCAAGCAGGCUCCACACCCACCCCAAGGCUCACUCUCACUACCCUGAGAUCAAGACCUGAGCUGAAAUCAAGAGUCAGUUGCUUAGGUGACUGAACCACCCAGCCACCCCCUCUCGAUCCAAAUUUAGGUGGCUAUAUACACUAGCAGACUUGUAGACUAGGGAAUCAGGAACUUCUGUUUGCCUUCUGGAAUUAUAAGCAAAGACAGAAAGCUUUCCUCACUGCCUUUAGGCCAGAUGAAGUGUAUCACUUAGAGCAUAGGUAAUAAGCGUUACCUCACUGCGUGCUCAGAUCUGUCUUCCCCCAGUAGACUGUGAGCCCCUCACAGACAGAGAAGCCCCCUCACACAGCAAAGACCAAACAAAUAUUUAUUGGACAGAACAAAUGAAGAAAUAUUAAAGUCUACUUGUAUUGCGCCAACUCAUCUUGAAACCAUGUCAGGAGAGCAAUGGCAAGUCUUUGUUCCCGUGCAGACAUUCCUCUCCCGUUUAAACCCAAACUAAUUCAAAGUCUGAUAAUUCUGCCUUUUAAAUUAUUUCUUUCUGAGAGAUACUAUUGCUUG
Mustela putorius furo (domestic ferret) is the source of this 2962-nucleotide long non-coding RNA. The record is from Ensembl. NCBI's taxonomy places the organism in Eukaryota, Metazoa, Chordata, Mammalia, Carnivora, Mustelidae.